Pan troglodytes (chimpanzee) is the source of this 6586-nucleotide long non-coding RNA. RefSeq lists it as uncharacterized. Lineage: Eukaryota; Metazoa; Chordata; Mammalia; Primates; Hominidae. The record is from RefSeq and is a predicted model, not a curated record. The transcript is spliced from 3 exons.
AGGGACGAGAAGGAUACGCCUCCUUUCCCUCUCAUGUCCACCAAACCUUGGUCUCUUCUAUUUUGCCCUAUAGUCUAAAACAAUCCUAAACCCCCGCCUUUGUGUUGUCAGGCCCCAUCCCCCACCAGCUUUGCCCAAUGGAGAACAAACAUGCUCUGUGCCUCAUCCAUGCUGUCAAGAAUUUCUUUUUCUCACACUCUGCAUCCUUGAGCAGUCCUUCAUGAAACCACAGCAGAUGUUUCUCAGUCCUUUCAUUUUCUUUUUUCAGAGGAAUUGUAAUCGGCUGCGCUUUAAUUAGGAUCUCCCCGAGGAUACUUCGGCUUUCUUCCACACCCGGGAGUUUGCAGAUUCCCUCUUAGUGCACCAGGCUGAUUAGAUUUCUUAAUUCCCUAAAACAUGCUGUCUCGAAGCCUAAUACCCUUGUAGGGAUGAGGUCUGUUUCUCUGCCUCUCCUCUCAUUACAGUGCUAAAUCCAGGCAGUGGUCUCCCUUACGGCACUUGCUUCUUCCCUGGCUCCGGACCCCUUUUUUGAUGGCCUGCAAACCUUCUGACAAAGAAGCUGCCUUGAAAGACAAAAUGGGUCCAGCAGGGAAUUAGACAGAAAAUAUUUACAGACUCGGUGAACCAAGAGCUGGGUGUUCCGGGCUGUUGAAGAAAAUGGAGUAAUGGGAUAGAAGCUGCUUUCAACUUCCUGCUGGUAAAGAACAAGCCUGUGUCAACAAGAGACCGAAUAAGAAACCCUCAAGGAGGAGACGUGGGAGUUGCCUUCAUUCAUUGGAUAGAGUGCCGCAGCACAGGAUGCUCUGAGAGGCCAGCACCACACCCUCUUGACCAUGCUGUAGCCAUAAAUGUUCCAGAGGCAUCUGAGAAAACCACUGCAGAAUACACAGAGCACAGCUGCAUUUUGUCUUCUCCACCUACAACAGGGUUUGCUCUACCCUGCCAUAUCACAGGCUCCUGAAAAGACCAACUCACAGCACCACAGGAUGUGAUUAAGCCUUGGAGAAGAUUAAUUACCCACUUUCUUAGGAGUCGGUCUCUCCUCGCCACUCACUCAAGUUCCUUUACCCCCCACUAAGCCUCUGAAAGAAUCUAACAUCAUAAACAAGGAUCUCACUAGCAACUUGAAUUCGGGCUGCAGAUCUUUUGUGAAGAUUUGGUUACAGAUGCUGCUUUAACUUCUGAGGAUUAUUCUUCAGCAUCCAGAGAGACUCCAGUUGCUCUCCUGGGAAAUGUUCUCUCACUUGAAUAACUCAUCUGUUCACCCAUUGGCAUAACUGCUGCCAGUUCCAAGCACCUGCUGAGGAGUGGACCCAGAUUAGGCCUCUGGCAGGGCUACAAAGAACGCAUUUCAGUGUUGGACUUCCCAUUCCAUUUGCAUCUUCAGGGGAAGUUAAUGUCCCACUCAAGUUUCUCUCAGUUAGGGUGACAGGGAGAUGCAGUUCUUCAAAUGCUGUCCUCAAGUAGAGAGGGAGACCACAGAGCUCCGACUGGCUUGCCAGCCCAUGGAGCCAUUUUUUCUUUGGUGGUGGAUGCUCUCGGUGUGGCCUCUAGAGCUCCUUUCAUGUUCCUUUUCUCUCUGCAUUCCCACCGCUCUCCCCUCAGGUGGGUCCACAUCACCUCUCGCCUGGACCUCAGUCUGUCUCCUCUCUGCUAACCAGGGUAUCUUCACUUCCCUGCAGCUUUCACACAGCAGCCAGAUUAAUGUUCCUCAGUGCAGCUUUGAUCACACCACUGUGCCCAAACAAAAUCUUUCAUGGCCCCCAGCUACCCAGUGAUCAAAGUCCAGGGUCCUCACUCCAGCAUUAAAGAGCCUCUGUAUUGUGGAUCCCAAAUCAUCACAUGCCCCACCUCCAUCACCCAUCUGUUCCACUCCCACCCACCUCAACCUCAGUUCUAGUCCUUCAAGCUGCAGGCAGCAGCUCAUCGAGAAGGUCAUGAAAUCAAUGAAGUAUGUGACGAAAGCAUUUUAAAAUGAAAUUUAUAGCAAAAGAACAAAUAUGCAUAUGGCUUUCUAUAUAGCAGGCUCCAUUCCAAAUACUUUGCAUAGACUCACAUACUUCUCACACUGUCCCUAGGGAAAUAAGCACUCUUGCUAUCCCUGUUUUACAGAUAAGGACACAGACCCAGGGAGGUUAAAUAAGUUGUCCAAGGUGAUUAAUUCUGGCUUGAACCCAGAGAGCCUUGUAUCAGAAGCCACACUCUGCUAUACUCCCCAUGAUGUACUAUAUGGAAUAAAACUAUAUUCUAGAUUUUGUAAAACCAUAUGGAACAGAAUAGAAAAUUUAGGGCAUUCUGUAUAUACAAUGGUAAAUGUUCCAUGAAGGUCUGUUGGAGAUAAAUAUAAAUGUAUACACACAAGACUACAGUAGAAAAUGUGUAUUGUGCUGAGUACACAAGGUCAAGUGUUUGUCUUACUGUGGCUUGUGGUCAAAAACACGUGAAACCUGUUGUUCUGGCUAAAACCAAGGAACUGCCAAUGAUCUCUCACGCUUCUUUGCCUCUACAUCUUCACCCACACUGAUCCCAGCACUGGAAAUAUCUUUCCCUGUCGUUUCUCACCUGUCUCUCUGGUCCAAACAUGUCUUGUCCAUGGAGUCUUUCUUAAUUCUUCUCUUUAUUCUGUCUUCUAAAUUAUAAGCUUCUUGAGGGCUUAGGUACAUACAUUUCACAAUCAGUUCUUGCUUCCUAACAAAGAAGGAAGCAUCUUCCAGGAGGCUUUUACUCCCAACCUACUUUCAACCCCCCAUUGGUGUGAUGAGAUUUCUGAUAUUCGUCUUCUUUCUGUGAUACUUUGGGACAAUGGUUCUCAAAGUGUGGUCCCCAGACCAGCAACGUCAGCAUCGCCUGGGACUUGUUAGAGAUGCGUAUUCUCAGGCCCCAUCCCAGACCUACUGAAUCAGAUUAUCUGAGGGUGAACAACAGCAGUGUGUGCUACAACCAGCCUUCCAAGUGAUUCUGAUGCUUGUGCAAGUUCGAGAACCACUGGCUUAAGAAAAAGCCAUUCUUAUUCAAUAUGAGAGAAGGGUUUGUUUCAUGAAUCUGGGCCAGUUGGCUGCAUUGUAUUGCUUAUGAGGACAAGGUCAGGGGAUCAAAUUUGUGUAUCCAAGUCAGCAACAUGUCACACCACACAUUGAAUCCCCCAACCCUAGCUUUUGUGCAAUUGCAAGCUAUUUAGUCCCAAAAGAACUAUGGAUGUCUCAGUGCCAAAGCUAACUCACCUAAAUUAUUACUGUCAUCGCAUUAAUGGAGCCAGGCUCACAGCCAUGAGCCAUCAAGCACCCUGCAGGGGACAGUAAAAGCAGAACCAGGAAUGGACAAAGACAUUGUUAGAAGUCAAGAGAACAUGGACUUUCUAAAUAUCAAGGCAUUUUAGAAGGUAUGGCUAAAACAGAUUGCAAAUGAUGACGAAAGGCAGUAAAAAUCCAAGUGGGUUUAGGAUGGGAAAUUUCAAAUUUCAUAGGAAAUCCAAGGUCACAGAAAUAAUAAACCAGAAUGACCUAGGAGCUAGCACUUGAUAGAUUCAGGAGCAUUUCCAUGGACAGACAUUUUAUAUUUGAAGAAACUCGAAUCUAUAUUCCGAGAAGUUAAGAAACAAGAUCACGCAAUGAGGAAAUAGCAGAACUAGAAUGCAAACCAACUUUUGUUACCCAGGAGUCUCUACUAAAGGUCUGCCUGCCCUGCUGAGGGCACUCCCCUCUCUGCGGUUUCUCUUCUACACUCCUGCCACACUGGCCCCAGUGCUGCCAUGUCCACUCCCAGGGCUCUGCACUUACUCUUCCUUCUCUUUUAAGUAUUUUUUCACUAGCUGUUCCCAGAGCUGCACCCUCCUCAUCCUUUAGGCCUCAACCCAAAUGUUACUUACUCAGAGAGUUCUUCCCUGACCACCCAGCCCACACUUCUGUGACUGUAUGAGUUUCCUGGGGCUGUUGAAACAAAUGACUGCAAAGUUGGUGACUUAAAACAACAUAAGUUGGCUGGGUGUUGUGGCUCAUGCCUGUAAUCCCAGCACUUUGGGAGGCCCAGGCGGGCGGAUCAUGAGGUCAGGAGAUUGAGACCAUCCUGGCCAACAUGAUGAAACCUCAUCUCAACUAAAAUACAAAAAAAUUAGCCGGGUAUGGUGGUGUGUGCCUGUAGUCCCAGCUGCUCAGGAGGCUGAGGCAGGAGAAUUGCUUGAACCCAGGAGGCAGAGAUUGAAGUGAGCCAAGAUCACACCACUGCAUUCCAGCCUGGACAACAGAACGAGACUCCAUCACAAAAACAAAACAAAACAAAACAAAAACAUAAGUUUUUUCACUUACAGUUCUGGAGGCCAAAAAUCCAAACUCAAGGUGUCGGCAGGGCCAUGUCUCUCUGAAGGCACUAGGAGAAAACCUGCCCCAUGCUCCUCUCCUAGGUUCUGGUGGCUGCCAGCCAUUCAUGACAUUUCUUGACUUGCGGCUGCAUGACUUCCAGUGGCACUGUCCUCUCUGUGUCUGUGUUAAAUAUCCCUCAUAAGAACACCAUUCAUCGGAUUAGGGCACACCCUAACACCAUAUGGCCUCAUCUUAACUUCAUUACAUCUGCAAAGACCUUAUUUCCAAGUAAAUCCACAUUCAUAUGCAUUGGGCAUUAGAACUUUGACACAUCCUUUUUGGGGGAGGUGGGGAACAACUCAACCCACACACAGCCACAGACAUUUCCUACAAUACCCUGUUCUAUCGUCUCCAUACUGCUUCUCAGUAUGUGACAUUAUCCUAUUUAUUUAUAAGUGUAUGUGCUCAUUGCCUGCCCAACCCUUCCCCAACUAGAAAGAAAGCUUCUUAUAGCCGUGUACCUCUCUGUCUUGUUCACAGAUGAAUCUCCAGCACAUAGAAGGGGGGCCUGGAACAAAGCACUGUUUUACAAAGAUUUACUAACUGCCUGAACUGCCUCUCCCACUGGGGUCUUUCAUUACAUGGUCCCACCUCACCAACCACAGGGAUGAAUACGUGACCUAAGCUGACUUAUCAGAACCAUUGUAAGGACAGACCCUGUGAGAGAGGGAACCAUGAUGUCUCCUCUGAAAUCAUUGCUGUGAGGAUGAUGUCAUAGUGUUGCCAGAUAAAAUACAGAAUGUCCAAUACUCUUUUAGCCUAAAUAAAGAUCCCAUGCUAUAUUUAGGACAGUGUAAAUACUACUUGGGACCUCCUUCUUCUGAAAAAGGUAUUUGUUGUUUAUCUGAAAUUCAACUCAACAGAGCCUUCUUUACUUUUAUUUGCUAAAUCUGGAAACUCUAUGGUGUCAGUCUCAAACUGCCAGAACCUUGUUGUCCACACAAGGAAGGAACAAAACCUCCCUGAGAAUGAAGCCUUUGUAGAAGGAAGCAGAGUCAAGAGAUAAAGACUAAUUCCUGGUCAUAUUUCCUAAGCCCCUGCAUCCAGCCAUGCCUAAAUGCUUCCUUUACCUCUGAGGCUUCUCAGUAAUCUGCGUCAGUAAAUCCCUCAUCCAUCUUACAUUUUUCUUUCCUAAGCUAUUUGAAACUAAGUUUUUGCUACUUGCAAAUGAAGUUCUGGUGAAUGUAAAUCACCUUCCAAUCAGUGCCAAUUCUUGCCUUCAUGAUCUCCUAAAAUCCAUAAUCCCUUAGUUUCCCUCCUAGUUUUUCCACUACUUUCCCCAAUGAUGCCCAUUCCACUCUUAGUUAAGAGUAGUCUGAUGUAGUCCUUUGUGUUCAGGCCAGAAAGGUCCAUCUCAGCUGUCUCCCUCCAAUCUGUAUCAUGAAGUCCAUGAAGAUGCAGAGGAGAGCCCCAACAAGACACAAACCCUCUCUCUUGCUGAUGGUGACCACCCUAUAAAGCAUAAAUGCAAUGUCUUAUUAUGCUAAGAGGUCCCCUUUUGAUCAGGUGUGAAGAAUAAAAGCAAGAAAAAAAAGGGAGAAAAAAGCAGGAAACCCUAUCCUACUAUAGCCAAAAUGUUUCUCCUGAGCCUCCAAAGAAACAGGGCCCAUUGCAAGGUCUGGGUGCUGUGGGUUUCUUGAGCAGCAGAAUCCCAACCUUUCAUUCUCUUCUCCAGCUUUACUGCAGAGUCUUAAGAGCAGACCCAGUUGGUCAUACAAAAGUGACAGCAAACGAGAAGGUCCACAGAGCUGAGACAGCACCCCAGAUGGUAUUGCCUGCAGAUGACUUGUGCAGUGUUCCUGCUGUCACACAUAUCCCUUUGGUCCUACAUAAUAAAUCUCCCCUUGCUGAUGGGACAGACAGCUAGGAUUGCUACUUUUACUUUUGGCAGAUCCUGAUUUGCUAAAGAUUGGCCCCUCCAUUCCAAGCAGAAGAGAAGGAACAGGCCAAGUGCUAGGGUGCCAAUCCCUUAGCAUCUAGGCAGGAGAAAAGAGAGAAAACUCAUAUCCUUGCCAAGAGAUCUGUCAAAUGGCCAUAGGCAGGGACAUGAACCUCCAUCCAAAUUAAACACUCAGCCUUCUGAGCCCAGUAGUUGCCAAGCAUACACUUUGUAAAUCAAGACAGCAUGUAUUCAUCCAGCAAAUAUUUAUCAAGAUCAGGCAAUAUGCAAACACUGUGCUAGGCACUUGGGAAAAAAAUAAUGAGAAAAUGUAAACGUGGUUUGCUGUGGU